AUUUAAAGAAAGCGUAAUAGCUCACUGGUCGAGUCGGCCUGCGCGGAAGAUGUAACGGGGCUAAACCAUGCACCGAAGCUGCGGCAGCGACGCUGAUGCGUUGUUGGGUAGGGGAGCGUUCUGUAAGCCUGUGAAGGUGGCCUGUGAGGGUUGCUGGAGGUAUCAGAAGUGCGAAUGCUGACAUAAGUAACGAUAAAGCGGGUGAAAAGCCCGCUCGCCGGAAGACCAAGGGUUCCUGUCCAACGUUAAUCGGGGCAGGGUGAGUCGACCCCUAAGGCGAGGCCGAAAGGCGUAGUCGAUGGGAAACGGGUUAAUAUUCCCGUACUUGGUGUUACUGCGAAGGGGGGACGGAGAAGGCUAUGUUGGCCGGGCGACGGUUGUCCCGGUUUAAGCGUGUAGGUGUGUGUUCCAGGUAAAUCCGGUUCACUUUAACACUGAGGCGUGAUGACGAGGCACUACGGUGCUGAAGCAACAAAUGCCCUGCUUCCAGGAAAAGCCUCUAAGCAUCAGGUAACAUCAAAUCGUACCCCAAACCGACACAGGUGGUCAGGUAGAGAAUACCAAGGCGCUUGAGAGAACUCGGGUGAAGGAACUAGGCAAAAUGGUGCCGUAACUUCGGGAGAAGGCACGCUGACAC
Molecule: ribosomal RNA, 637 nt
Filed under: Salmonella enterica
Lineage: Bacteria; Pseudomonadati; Pseudomonadota; Gammaproteobacteria; Enterobacterales; Enterobacteriaceae
Also listed under: 1 other name
Description: partial 23S ribosomal RNA
Rfam family: Bacterial large subunit ribosomal RNA
Source: RNAcentral